UGCCGGCGUGGCGGAACUGGCAGACGCGCAGGACUUAAAAUCCUGUGGUGGCGACAUCGUACCGGUUCGAUUCCGGUCGCCGGCAU
Molecule: transfer RNA, 86 nt
Filed under: Eubacterium ramulus
Lineage: Bacteria; Bacillati; Bacillota; Clostridia; Eubacteriales; Eubacteriaceae
Also listed under: 1 other name
Description: tRNA-Leu(taa)
Rfam family: tRNA
About the family: Transfer RNA (tRNA) molecules are approximately 80 nucleotides in length. Their secondary structure includes four short double-helical elements and three loops (D, anti-codon, and T loops). Further hydrogen bonds mediate the characteristic L-shaped molecular structure. tRNAs have two regions of fundamental functional importance: the anti-codon, which is responsible for specific mRNA codon recognition, and the 3' end, to which the tRNAs corresponding amino acid is attached (by aminoacyl-tRNA synthetases). tRNAs cope with the degeneracy of the genetic code in two manners: having more than one tRNA (with a specific anti-codon) for a particular amino acid; and 'wobble' base-pairing, i.e. permitting non-standard base-pairing at the 3rd anti-codon position.
Source: RNAcentral